Molecule: ribosomal RNA, 440 nt
Filed under: uncultured bacterium
Lineage: Bacteria
Description: bacterial SSU rRNA
Rfam family: Bacterial small subunit ribosomal RNA
Source: RNAcentral
CAGUCGAGGGGCAGCAUGGUCUUAGCUUGCUAAGGCCGAUGGCGACCGGCGCACGGGUGAGUAACACGUAUCCAACCUGCCGUCUACUCUUGGACAGCCUUCUGAAAGGAAGAUUAAUACAAGAUGGCAUCAUGAGUCCGCAUGUUCACAUGAUUAAAGGUAUUCCGGUAGACGAUGGGGAUGCGUUCCAUUAGAUAGUAGGCGGGGUAACGGCCCACCUAGUCUUCGAUGGAUAGGGGUUCUGAGAGGAAGGUCCCCCACAUUGGAACUGAGACACGGUCCAAACUCCUACGGGAGGCAGCAGUGAGGAAUAUUGGUCAAUGGGCGAGAGCCUGAACCAGCCAAGUAGCGUGAAGGAUGACUGCCCUAUGGGUUGUAAACUUCUUUUAUAAAGGAAUAAAGUCGGGUAUGGAUACCCGUUUGCAUGUACUUUAUGAAUA